RNAcentral lists this ribosomal RNA (449 nucleotides) under uncultured bacterium. RNAcentral describes it as "partial 16S ribosomal RNA". It matches the Rfam family "Bacterial small subunit ribosomal RNA", at positions 29 to 523 of the family's 1533-position model. The record is from RNAcentral.
AACGAACGCUGGCGGCAGGCCUAACACAUGCAAGUCGAACGCCCUAGCAAUAGGGAGUGGCAGACGGGUGAGUAACGCGUGGGAACGUACCCUUCGGUUCGGAAUAAGCCGGGGAAACCUGGUCUAAUACCGGAUACGUGCGAGAGCAGAAAGAUUUAUCGCCGAAGGAUCGGCCCGCGUCCGAUUAGCUAGUUGGUGAGGUAAUGGCUCACCAAGGCGACGAUCGGUAGCUGGUCUGAGAGGAUGAUCAGCCACACUGGGACUGAGACACGGCCCAGACUCCGACGGGAGGCAGCAGUGGGGAAUAUUGGACAAUGGGCGCAAGCCUGAUCCAGCCAUGCCGCGUGAGUGAUGAAGGUCCUAGGGUUGUAAAGCUCUUUCGCCAGGGACGAUAAUGACGGUACCUGGAUAAGAAGCCCCGGCUAACUUCGUGCCAGCCGCCGCGGUAA